RNAcentral lists this small RNA (88 nucleotides) under Brevibacillus laterosporus LMG 15441. RNAcentral describes it as "BsrC". It matches the Rfam family "BsrC". From Rfam's summary of the family: The 301 nucleotide sequence from Kouji Nakamura has been trimmed to a highly conserved ~85 nucleotide long core to form this family. The record is from Rfam by way of RNAcentral. Lineage: Bacteria; Bacillati; Bacillota; Bacilli; Caryophanales; Paenibacillaceae.
GAACCUCAAAACAACGAAAGCCCUACCUCUCUUCCGUCCUUACGGCUCCGAUGACCGCGCCAGUGUGAAUCGGGUAAAUCAAAACGCU